Molecule: long non-coding RNA, 315 nt
Filed under: Citrus maxima (pomelo)
Lineage: Eukaryota; Viridiplantae; Streptophyta; Magnoliopsida; Sapindales; Rutaceae
Description: long non-coding RNA (CMAX_LNC000975)
Source: RNAcentral
GCCCGGGACAGUGUUGUCGCCGCCGAGACCGCGUGGGCGUCCGCCGAAGCCGAGAGAUCCAUUCGCGCCGCCGGCUGCCUCUAAGAAGAAGAGUUCGGGUGGGAGUGGGAGGCCACGUGGCAGACCUCCUAAGAAGGCUAAGACUGCGCCGGGUCCGGGUCCGGCUCCCGCCUCAGCCGCGGCUUCUUCUGCUUCGGCUCCAGCUACCGGAGCGCCGAGAGGGAGGGGCCGGCCACCUAAAGUGAAGCCAGCUGUUGCGCCGGUAGCUGGUUGACUGAAAUUAAGCUGACGAAGAAGAAAGAAAGAGAAGGGGAG